CCUACGGGCGGCAGCAGUGAGGAAUAUUGGUCAAUGGUCGGGAGACUGAACCAGCCAAGCCGCGUGAGGGAGGAAGGUACAGAGUAUCGUAAACCUCUUUUGUCAGGGAACAAAGACUGGGACGCGUCCCCGGAUGAGUGUACCUGAAGAAAAAGCAUCGGCUAACUCCGUGCCAGCAGCCGCGGUAAUACGGGGGAUGCGAGCGUUAUCCGGUUUUAUUGGGUUAAAAGGGUGCGAAGGCGGGCUGUUAAGUCAGGGGUAAAAGCCCGGGGCUCAACCCCGGCCCGCCGUUGAAACUGGCAGUCUCGAGUUGGAGAGAAGUAUGCGGAAUGCGCGGUGUAGCGGUGAAAUGCAUAGAUAUCGCGCAGAACUCCGAUUGCGAAGGCAGCAUGCCGGCUCCACACUGACGCUGAGGCACGAAAGCGUGGGUAUCGAACAGGAUUAGAUACCCUAGUAGUC
This 459-nucleotide ribosomal RNA is filed under the name uncultured bacterium. RNAcentral's name for it is "partial 16S ribosomal RNA". It matches the Rfam family "Bacterial small subunit ribosomal RNA", at positions 338 to 795 of the family's 1533-position model. The record is from RNAcentral.